This 76-nucleotide transfer RNA is filed under the name Alcaligenes faecalis. RNAcentral's name for it is "tRNA-Glu". It matches the Rfam family "tRNA". From Rfam's summary of the family: Transfer RNA (tRNA) molecules are approximately 80 nucleotides in length. Lineage: Bacteria; Pseudomonadati; Pseudomonadota; Betaproteobacteria; Burkholderiales; Alcaligenaceae. The record is from RNAcentral. RNAcentral also lists the same sequence under 102 other names.
GUCCCCUUCGUCUAGAGGCCUAGGACACCACCCUUUCACGGUGGGUACAGGGGUUCGAAUCCCCUAGGGGACGCCA